AAUUACCCUCAAUAUGGCUUAGCCUGUCUGAUGAGAUGAUUUUACCAAAGUAUAGUCACUGUGCAUGAUACAACUUCUUGGAGCUGAGUCUGCUAUACUCAAUAAACAGAUUACAUGAUGGAACAGAAAACCAGAAGAAAGGAGCCAGAGGAAUUCAAGAUAAGCUACUUUCACAAGUAGAAUAUUUAAGAACUCUAGAAGUUAGAAAAAUAUUUAAGAAAAAAACAUGGUUAAAAUGUGCAAAUAUACAGUCAACAGCAUAUACAAA
This is a long non-coding RNA of Sarcophilus harrisii (Tasmanian devil), 268 nucleotides long. RefSeq lists it as uncharacterized. NCBI's taxonomy places the organism in Eukaryota, Metazoa, Chordata, Mammalia, Dasyuromorphia, Dasyuridae. The record is from RefSeq and is a predicted model, not a curated record. The transcript has 2 exons.